AAUCAACGCUGGCGGCGUGCCUCAGACAUGCAAGUCGAACGCGAAAUUUCCCUUCGGGGAGAAAGUAGAGUGGCGCACGGGUGAGUAACACGUAGGUAAUUUGCCUUUGGGUGGGGAAUAACUCAGGGAAACUUGAGCUAAUACCGCAUAAUGCAGCGGCUCGACAUCGAGACAGUUGUUAAAGCGGGGGAUUGGAGCAAUCCGACCUCGCGCCUAAAGAGAAGCCUGCGGCAGAUUAGCUAGUUGGUAAGGUAAUGGCUUACCAAGGCGACGAUCUGUAACCGGCCUGAGAGGGCGGUCGGUCACACUGACACUGACAUACGGGUCAGACUCCUACGGGAGGCAGCCGAGUCGGGAAUUUUGGGCAAGUGGGCGCAAGCCUCGACCCAGCAACGCCGCGUGAAGGAUGAAAUUUUCGAAU
Molecule: ribosomal RNA, 421 nt
Filed under: uncultured bacterium
Lineage: Bacteria
Description: bacterial SSU rRNA
Rfam family: Bacterial small subunit ribosomal RNA
Source: RNAcentral